GAUGAACGCUGGCGGCGUGCCUAAUACAUGCCAGUCGAGCGAACAGACGAGGAGCUUGCUCCUCUGACGUUAGCGGCGGACGGGUGAGUAACACGUGGAUAACCUACCUAUAAGACUGGGAUAACUUCGGGAAACCGGAGCUAAUACCGGAUAAUAUAUUGAACCGCAUGGUUCAAUAGUGAAAGACGGUUUUGCUGUCACUUAUAGAUGGAUCCGCGCCGCAUUAGCUAGUUGGUAAGGUAACGGCUUACCAAGGCGACGAUGCGUAGCCGACCUGAGAGGGUGAUCGGCCACACUGGAACUGAGACACGGCCCAGACUCCUACGGGAGGCAGCAGUAGGGAAUCUUCCGCAAUGGGCGAAAGCCUGACGGAGCAACGCCGCGUGAGUGAUGAAGGUCUUCGGAUCGUAAAACUCUGUUAUUAGGGAAGAACAAAUGUGUAAGUAACUAUGCACGUCUUGACGGUACCUAAUCAGAAAGCCACGGCUAACUACGUG
Molecule: ribosomal RNA, 497 nt
Filed under: uncultured bacterium
Lineage: Bacteria
Description: partial 16S ribosomal RNA
Rfam family: Bacterial small subunit ribosomal RNA
Source: RNAcentral